Molecule: ribosomal RNA, 490 nt
Filed under: uncultured bacterium
Lineage: Bacteria
Description: partial 16S ribosomal RNA
Rfam family: Bacterial small subunit ribosomal RNA
Source: RNAcentral
AGUGAACGCUGGCGGUAGGCCUAACACAUGCAAGUCGAACGGCAGCACAGGAGAGCUUGCUCUCUGGGUGGCGAGUGGCGGACGGGUGAGGAAUACAUCGGAAUCUGCCCAGUCGUGGGGGAUGACGUAGGGAAACUUACGCUAAUACCGCAUACGACCUUCGGGUGAAAGAGGGGGAUCGCAAGACCUCUCGCGAUUGGAUGAGCCGAUGUCGGAUUAGCUAGUUGGCGGGGUAAUGGCCCACCAAGGCGACGAUCCGUAGCUGGUCUGAGAGGAUGAUCAGCCACACUGGAACUGAGACACGGUCCAGACUCCUACGGGAGGCAGCAGUGGGGAAUAUUGGACAAUGGGCGCAAGCCUGAUCCAGCCAUACCGCGUGGGUGAAGAAGGCCUUCGGGUUGUAAAGCCCUUUUGUUGGGAAAGAAAUCUUUCAGGCUAAUACCCUGGGAGGAUGACGGUACCCAAAGAAUAAGCACCGGCUAACUUCGUG